CUUAACCACUGUGCCACUGGGUCGGCCCCAUAUAAGUGAUUUUUAUUUUAUUUUAUUUGUUAGUGUUUCUUGGUAACCUUUGUAAUUAUAAAUAAUAGUCCUAUUGCUUCAACUUCCUGACACGUGCGCCUCUAAGUGUAUUAGCCGACCGCCCUCCCCUCCCCCCGCCACCUCCUAUGGUCUGUCUGCUGCACCAUUAGUUUUACAUAAUCAAGGUGUCUUUCUGAGGUUAUAAUAAGUCUUAAGUGCUGUGUCCAGAGGCUGAGUCUGAAAGUGAAAAUAUAGGGCACGUAUACUCUUAAGGUUACAUAAAUGAUAAUCAUUGUGAAUCCAUAACAAAGAUGUAAUUUUGCUGCCCUCAACCAGUGCUGUCCGAAGCACUCACAUUAAAUGGCAACUCUAAACAUUAUUUCACGUCACGCCACAUUUUAGUCUUCUCAUAUUGAGACCUUGAUUUUAUGGUAUGAAGCUUUAUAGUUUUCCCUGGAGUGGUGUUUCUCACCACAAAUGCCAGAUGCGACCCACAAAUGCCUCACUCACCAAGUGACGGAGGCCAUACAGCUCUUUGCUCCUAUUCUCUAUUGAACAGUCAGCUGGCUAUUUUCUGGGCUGCUGCAGGGCUGUCUUCCCACGAUGUCUUCACAUUGCUCUCCUUUACACUGUCACUCCUCUUGAGGAACCUGUGUCCUCCUCUUUGUUGAAUUCCAUUCUAGUUUUGCUGAAGUAUAUCCCUAAGUGCCUUUUUCCGAAAGGGUGUAUGGUAGAUAACUAUUUUGAAACUUUGCAUGUUUGAAACAUCUUUUCCCACUUCCCCACUAGACUAGAGGAUAGUUUCUAGGCCCAGAAUUACUGGUUCAAAAUCAUCUUCCUCAGCAGUUGGGAAACCCGGCUCCAUUCCCUAUAAGUGGGCAGUGGGGCUUUUUGUCAUCCCUGUGGCACUGACAUUGCACCAGGAUGGGUCCGUGAGCGAGUUUCUCUUCUUUCUCUUAUUUUACACUCUUCUAUCUGAACCCUCUUUCUCUCUUUAGUGCUGGGAAUUUUUCUUGUUUGUGCAGUAAAGGAUUAACUGUACCCGUAUAGAGGUCUGGCCUCGCCCUCCGUUCCGGGGAUGUAAUCUUUAAAUCCUUGGAUGUCCUGCUGAUAAGAGUGUCUUUGUUUACCUGGGGCCCUGGGCCCCCCAGAUAAUCUAUACUAGCAAUGUGACUUAUGGUGGGGGCUCUGGGUCCCGUGGUGUCAACUCAGCCUUUAGAAACGAAGCUCAGCCACACGGGCAGGUGGAAAACCCGGUCUGCAUGUCCCAUCCCCAUUAAAAGCCCUGGACCCCAUGGCUUGGGUGAACUCCCUGGGAAUACUCCAUGUGUUUGUUGCUCCCUGUUGCUGAGGGAAGUCAGAGCUGUCCACGACUCCACGGGAGAGACAACUGGAAGCUCGCGCCUCGUCCCUCCUGGACUCUGCCCCCCAUGCCCCUUCCCUUGGCAGAUUUUAAUCCGCAUCCUUUCUUUGUAAUAAACUGUGACCAGGAGUGUAACAGUUUUCAGUGAAUUCUGUGAGUCCUUCUAGCAAAUCAUCCAACUUGGGGCUGUUUGCGGGCCCCUCGGACUUGUAGUUGGUGUCAGAAGUAAGGGUGGUCUUGACGACCCCCAACUUUGUACAUCUCAUGCAUCUCCUGCUCUCCAUUUUCCCUUUAGAAUCUUCUAGAACACUUCCCCAGUCUGAGACUGCCCCGCCCUCAUCCUUCACAGCUCUGGACUGUCCUCUCCAUUUUCAUCACUCGUCUGUUCCACAUUCUGUCAGCAGACAUCUUGCGCCAGAGGCGGGCGUUGGUCCUAUUCACACUGCACCCUUGGGGCAGGGACCUCACCACCAGCAGGAUGCUAACCUGAAGCCUUACAGGGGACGUCAGUUCACCGGGAGGUCCACGCCAUGGCAGGCCGGGACAAGCCGCUGUCAGUCCUUGUCAGGUUUGGGUGUCACUGUGAUACUGGCUUCAUGAUGAAACUGAGGAUGAAGGAGAUAAGAUUUCCCUGGAUUGGGGUGAAACUGUGCCUCGUACCCACAAGUCUAACGUAGGAAACAAAAUAACCAAAGUUUCUGAGCUCGCCUUGCGGAACAGCAGGGGCACGGCUGAUAAGAGAGGAACUGUUGACAGGCCCCGCUGGACUCAGCAUCUUGCAGGAACAUCAAGAAGCUAAAAUGACUGACUGUAAACUUCAAACGUCACAGACUAAAAAUUCACUGUGUGCAACACAUAGAACAGACGGUCAGCCUGUGCGGACGACUCUUAGAGCUUCAGCCCCCAGGGGGACACGCUCCCCCCACCCUACCUGAAGCCCCAAGUAAAAACCCUUGCUUGUAGCUUUUCAGGGAGUUUGGGAUUACAGCAUUAGCUGCCGUUCUCCUUGCUCAGUGCUUUGCAAUAAAAUUCCUGCUUGCUUCCACUACACUCGGUGUCAGAUUGGCUUGUUGUGCAAUGCGUGAGUGAACUCACUUCAGGUUUGAUGUCAAUUUGGUGACCCAGGUGGGACAACGUCCCAAGUGGACGUCUCGACUGUGGUACACUGGCCUCUGGCUAAAGGCCUCUCUUGGAAGCUGUCCUGCAGCUGCCUGAGCCCCUGGUCUCAGGGACAGCCCCAAGCGACUGGCUGCUGACCAGACGUCAUUGGCCCACGGCGCUUUUGCUGGGGUGGUAGAAGAAACUAGGGUCAGGACUUGGGGAGACGUCUCUUGUAAGCGGUUGGCAGUUUUUGGUUUUGUCUUUUUUUUUUUUUUUGAGGAAGAUUAGCCCUGAGCUAA
Molecule: non-coding RNA, 2793 nt
Organism: Equus caballus (horse)
Lineage: Eukaryota; Metazoa; Chordata; Mammalia; Perissodactyla; Equidae
Source: RefSeq, a predicted model, not a curated record